CCUUAAAGUAUUUUAAGUUUCUCCUUUGGUAAGUUUUUCUUCCUUGUCUUUUUUUUUUUUUUUUUUAAUGUAGUGCCCCAGUAAGCUAGACAUUUAUUUUACGAAAUGGGUUUAAAAUGCCAGCGCCUGGAGAAUUUAUAUUCCAUAAGCAUUGUUGGAGUUGACAAAUGUCAAAACUCACCAGGAAUCUGCCUUUGUAUUUUAUUUUGGCAGGUUUUGGGGUCCAGACUAGAAGGCUAGUUAGGGUUCUGAAUUGCCUUUAGGUUGCAGGAAUUGCUAAUGUGAUAUAUAAUACCAAAGAAGGAAGAAUGUUAUGAUCAUAAUGGUCUUGAUUUAUAGUUGCCAUCAUAGCUCUCCCCAGUAGGUAACUGAUGAGGCCUAAUAGUCGUUUUGAGCUGCAACCACCCACAAAAACCACACACAUGGCAUUUUACUCAAAACUCUACUUUAACCACUACUUUGUGAUGCAAAACUGGUGGAAUUUUGGGUACUUUCUGUAAAAUUGAAAUCUUGAUGGGGGUUUUCCAACAUUCUAGUUGAUUGUUAGCAAAUUAUCAGUAUACUGAACAAGAGCAAAGAAGGGUUUGCUAAUAAACACCUGCUUCUGUGGUAAGAUAGGGUGCCAGUCUAUAUCUGAAUAUUUUCACUUGGAGGAAGCUACCUUCAUUGAGAGAACAGAUUCUCCUUUUGAAAAAUGCAGUUGAGUAAGAGGUAUUUACAUGAGACCUAUAGUUGUAAAAGAGAGAUUUUAGAAGCUUCUUGUCUUUGCCAUAGUUUACAGUGUUGACACAGUAUUCAUAUUCAAUAUUUUCUAACUUGUAGAUCCCCUUGUAAAAAAGAUUUGAAAAGAAAAGCAAAUCAAUUUGCAUUGUAGGACAAAAUGCAAUUCUCCCUAAGAACUCUCUGUGGAGGGAGAACUGUUAGGGGAACUGAUCUCUGAUGAGAUACUGCAGCCCAAUUCUGGAAGACAGGUAGCAAGUGGGAAGAGCACUUUGUGUGUUUGCCUAAGUCAGGAGAUCUUUGUUUAUUCUGGAGCUGAGUCCUUAGGCCAAUUACUUUACCUAAGUCUCCAUUUCUUUUUCUUUCUUUUUUUUGAAAAUAAUCUCUGUACCCAACAUGGGGCUUGAACUCAUGACCCUGAGAUUGAGUCGCAUGCUCUACUGCUUGAGCCAGCCAGGCACCCCUCUAAGUUUCAGUUUCCUGUCUUUAUAAUUAAAGUAUCACUCUUGCUGUGUGCUUUGGUGGAUACAACAUAUUGUCUCAGGAGUCCUUUGUUACAUCCUGUGUUAUGUAAAGAUGACUUUUAUUGCCAUAAAAUUUACAUCUUCUAUCAAGCACAUAUUUUUUAGAAUCUGUAAAAACAUUAUUUUAGCAAAACCCAACUCUACUUUUAGAAGCAUGUAGUUCUGCCCCUUUUGUAUGUAGUAGUUUUGAAGGAGUAAAUUUCCAUCAGUGCAGCCCAGAAGUCAGCCUUAAAAUAACUGUCAGAAACUUUCAGGCUCUUUCUCAUUAAUACAUUGUCAUGCUCAGGAGGACAGAGAAAUCUAAAAUUGAGUUUUUAACAGGUUAAUUCCUUAGUUUACUGUGAAGAUCUUGAUGAUUUCCCACCAGCACAUAAGUAAAGCUUUGUUUAGUUUGCCUCACUGCAUAGACUGUNUUUCCUCUAAAAUGUUUUAUUACUACUGGAAACAAUUUUAAAAGCAAAGUAUUUGUCAAUCUUGUCCUUGAAAACUUUGCUACUAGUUAAAUUGUUUCAUUUGGAUAUAUAUCUCCUCCGUAGUAUUUGUUUUAUAGUUGCAAGAGUAGAUUUAUUUAUUGAGAGCCUACUGAUCUGCCUGCUACUGGUCUAGGUACAGGAGAUCCAUCAGUGAAAAAAAUACAAUAUCUGCUUUCAUGUAAUUUAUGCUGGUGGGGGUGGGGUGGGGUGGGGGGAAAUAACAAAGAUCAAAUAAUGAAUUAAGCUAUGUAAGGUGAUGUACUAUGUAUUACAUAGUAUGUUAUAUAUAUAGGAGGACAGGUAGGAAUGUCUUCAGAGGCCUUAUUGAGAAAGUGACAUUUGAGCAAAUACUUGAAAAAUAUCAGUGGAAUUGACAUAGUAACAAAGAUAAUACUGUGUGGUAUAUAGAGCAGGGGUGGGGAACUGAGCCUAGGGCAAAUGUGGCUGUGACCUGUUUUAUAGGGAGUAAAGGAAUGGUUUUUACAUUUUUAAAGGAUUUUUACAGACUGAAAAAACAAGGGUGACUAGGUGACAGUAGUUAGCCUGAAAAGCCUGAAAUAUUUACUAUCUGGCCCUUAUUAAAAAAGUUGGUUGACCCCAAGUCUAAACCCCAGUUUUUAAAAUAUUACCAAAAUAUAUAGGAAAUCCAACAAUCCAAAGUAAAAGACCAUGGUUAAUGAAUGAAUGAGUCUUAUCAAAACUUUAAGGAACAGCACAUACAAUUUACCACACUUGAACAUUUAGUGAUCCUUGAGACUUGUGAUUGAGUAGUCUAACCUGGAGGUUUUUUUCUCUGAAAUUUAAAUGUGUGGAAUCAGUAGUUUUUCAAGUUCAAUUUUAACAUUCUUUAAGAUCUUGUGAAUCAUUUCAUUAAAAUUGUUUCCCUUAUUUUUAUGGUAGUUGUACUGGUUUUUGGAUAUAAGUUAAAUGUGUUUCCCUGUUGAAGGGCCCUUUCCUCCAGAUAACCUAGAUUAGUUUGGAAUAGGUUCAGAUAACAUCAUAGAACGGACUUUUAUUCAGUUGGUAUUACUGUAAUCAAGUCCUGAGUCCAGUAUUUUAUAUUAUGAAACUUUGUAAGAGGAAGUGUUUUGUUGACUUGGAAACUAACAUGUCACAGGAUAUUUGGUUUCUUCUGGUGUUAAUUCCUCCAAGUGAUAUAAACUAGGAAAUUCACACAUGAAUUAUUUCUUGCCUAGAGAGUUGGAGUCGCAUGCUCUACUGCUUGAGCCAGCCAGGCACCCCUCUAAGUUUCAGUUUCCUGUCUUUAUAAUUAAAGUAUCACUCUUGCUGUGUGCUUUGGUGGAUACAACAUAUUGUCUCAGGAGUCCUUUGUUACAUCCUGUGUUAUGUAAAGAUGACUUUUAUUGCCAUAAAAUUUACAUCUUCUAUCAAGCACAUAUUUUUUAGAAUCUGUAAAAACAUUAUUUUAGCAAAACCCAACUCUACUUUUAGAAGCAUGUAGUUCUGCCCCUUUUGUAUGUAGUAGUUUUGAAGGAGUAAAUUUCCAUCAGUGCAGCCCAGAAGUCAGCCUUAAAAUAACUGUCAGAAACUUUCAGGCUCUUUCUCAUUAAUACAUUGUCAUGCUCAGGAGGACAGAGAAAUCUAAAAUUGAGUUUUUAACAGGUUAAUUCCUUAGUUUACUGUGAAGAUCUUGAUGAUUUCCCACCAGCACAUAAGUAAAGCUUUGUUUAGUUUGCCUCACUGCAUAGACUGUUGGUUAGCUUCCAGAAAUAAAGCAUGCUUGUUUUAUAAUUUAUGUUAGGAAAUAUUUAAACAGGAUGAAAGAACAGUUUUUAUAAGACCCAACUCAAGGAAUCCAUUUUCAGAAAGUACAACCAAAUAAAAAAAACUGGCUGAGUGAAGAACAAUGAAUAAGGAUCAUGAACUUGGAAACAAACCAAUUAAGUUGAAUGAAAUUUGUAAAGAAUGAAAUAAAAGAAGUUGCAUUUUGUAUGUGUGUGGGGUGACUAGAACAGAGUUCUAAGAAAAAUUUUAUGGGAUGGAAUAUCAUUUAAAGCUUUAGGAUCCAGCAAAGAGUAGAAUCUUCAUUUGUAGGGGGUGGGGGGAAGGAAGGUUUAUCACCACGGUUUUAUAUACAGAAGCAGCAAAGGUCAAGAUACUGUAAAUGUUAGAAAAGUGUAAUGGAAUUUCUCAGACCCUUUGACUUAACAAAUGGUUUAGUUAAGAAAAUUGGCAAAAUCUUGAAAUUUGGAUUGGGGCCAUAGCAGACUUUUACAUUGAAGGCCAAAAAGACUUUCUUGUGUAUUAGCACUGUAUUACCACAUUUGUUACUCAGCCUGAUAACACCAGACAACUUUGAAGGUGACUUGGACCUCCAUCAUUGAAAUGGAAGUGUUGAAAAAGCAACAUCUGGAGAAAGGUGAAAUCACAAUUACACAUCAAAGGCCAUAUAAGUUUUAACUUCAGAUUUUAUGUUUCAAUUAUACUAGCUUUGUGUUCACGCCCAAACUCCAAGGGUAGGAUCUACCACAUAGAGGGUGGAGUGGCAUUCCAAUUCCAUUUAUUUUCUGCUGAAGCUGGCACAUUGAAUGAAGAUUUAUAUCUUAAGUGACAGGAUUCAGACGAAACACGACAAACCUGUAAAAUCUGCAACGUGGACGUGUCAAUGCAGAACUUUCCGAUGAACUGGAUGGGACCAGGAAGACAAACCACACACACUGUCACGUUGUGCUGGGCAGCAUGACAGAUCAAAGAGAAUCCCAAGGAAGAGCAAGUCCUUGCUGGCUGCAGUGCACGUGGUGGGGGGUUCAGCACAGACUGCUGUUUGGUUUACGGAUUCAGGUGUGCGUCUAUCUUGGGCCUGCCUUUUUAUGGAAAAAUUUUGUGAAGAUACACUGCACUGACUGGAAAAUUAUUCACUUGUUUUUUAAUCAAAUUUAUUGAGUGGAAGCAUUGGUUAUGAAACUAGUCAUUUCACUGGACUUUAAUCCUGACCUAGUUGCCAACAAUGGGUGGUAAUUAUUCUUAUUUACCAAAGCAUAGAGAGAAUCUGUGUUAAAAGAGCAACCCAGGCAGGCACUGCUUUGAGGAGGGAACAAGUUUUACCACCUUGAGAGAGAUGAAUUAGUUUUGUGAAACAUGUCUGAUUGUCUUGCUGAAGGACUCCAACCACUGGACAUGAAUGGAAGCGUGCGGCAACUUUGUACUGCAGACAGCAAGUUAAAGCCCCCCGCCCCCCCCACGCCCAGGAAAGCUCAGGAGUCAGGGGCCUCAGCAGAACACACUCCUGACUUUACCACUGUGUGCCAUGGUGCUCCUGACAGCCUGGU
This 5007-nucleotide long non-coding RNA is filed under the name Lynx pardinus (Iberian lynx). The record is from RNAcentral. Lineage: Eukaryota; Metazoa; Chordata; Mammalia; Carnivora; Felidae.